Molecule: unclassified non-coding RNA, 433 nt
Filed under: soil metagenome
Description: partial contains 5.8S ribosomal RNA, internal transcribed spacer 2, and large subunit ribosomal RNA
Rfam family: 5.8S ribosomal RNA (bases 1-120)
Source: RNAcentral
GAUGAAGAACGGAGCGAAAUGCGAUACGUAAUGUGAAUUGCAGAAUUCAGUGAAUCAUCGAAUCUUUGAACGCAUAUUGCGCUCUCUGGUAUUCCGGAGAGCAUGCUUGUUUGAGUAUCAGUAAACACCUCAACUCCCCUUUUUUUUUUUGAAAUGGGAGCUGGACUUGAGUGAUCCCAACGCUUUUCUCACCGAAAAGUGGCGGGUUACUUGAAAUGCAGGUGCAGCUGGACUUUUCUCUGAGCUAAAAGCAUAUCUAUUUAGUCUGCCUAAAAAACAGAUUAUUACCUUUGCUGCAGCUAACAUAAAUGAGAUUAGUUCUUGUGCUGACUGAUGCAGGAUUCACAGAGACAGCUUCGGCUGGCCUUUGUAAACUCGAUCUCAAAUCAAGUAAGACUACCCGCUGAACUUAAGCAUAUCAAUAAGCGGAGGA